AUUGAACGCUGGCGGCAGGCCUAACACAUGCAAGUCGAGCGGAUGAAGGGAGCUCGCUCCUGGAUUCAGCGGCGGACGGGUGAGUAAUGCCUAGGAAUCUGCCUGGUAGUGGGGGAUAACGUCCGGAAACGGGCGCUAAUACCGCAUACGUCCUGAGGGAGAAAGUGGGGGAUCUUCGGACCUCACGCUAUCAGAUGAGCCUAGGUCGGAUUAGCUAGUUGGUGGGGUAAAGGCCCACCAAGGCGACGAUCCGUAACUGGUCUGAGAGGAUGAUCAGUCACACUGGAACUGAGACACGGUCCAGACUCCUACGGGAGGCAGCAGUGGGGAAUAUUGGACAAUGGGCGAAAGCCUGAUCCAGCCAUGCCGCGUGUGUGAAGAAGGUCUUCGGAUUGUAAAGCACUUUAAGUUGGGAGGAAGGGCAGUAAGUUAAUACCUUGCUGUUUUGACGUUACCAACAGAAUAAGCACCGGCUAACUUCGUG
Molecule: ribosomal RNA, 484 nt
Filed under: uncultured bacterium
Lineage: Bacteria
Description: partial 16S ribosomal RNA
Rfam family: Bacterial small subunit ribosomal RNA
Source: RNAcentral